RNAcentral lists this long non-coding RNA (402 nucleotides) under Calidris pugnax (ruff). RNAcentral's name for it is "lncRNA (ENSCPUG00000002324.1)". Lineage: Eukaryota; Metazoa; Chordata; Aves; Charadriiformes; Scolopacidae. The record is from RNAcentral.
CUGGAGAGGGACGGUGACAUGCUCGUACCGUUAUGCUCUCUCCAGCUGCUGCAGGACAGGAGCAAGGUGGAAGUAUACUUGAAGCAGAGCCUGCCGUACCUGAAAAACACCCAGGCCACCUUGCGAGAGGCAGCCAUCAGGUUCAUUGGGCUUGCUGCGCAGCACCUGAGGGACCAAAAUGAGGAGAAGCUGCAGGAUAUCUGCAAUGACCUCAAGGCCCUGAUGAAUGACACUGAACCCUCAGUCCAGUCCCUGGCAGCUCAGACCUUGGUGAUCCUGGGGACACCAAGGAAGCAGCAAACCUCAGGGUGGUCCCUACGAACACUGUGCUGCUGGCUCUGCAGAGACAGGGAGAGGUGAAAUAAGCCUCCGGAAAAUGGCCAUAUUUGAAUACUACUUUUU